Molecule: ribosomal RNA, 505 nt
Filed under: uncultured bacterium
Lineage: Bacteria
Description: partial 16S ribosomal RNA
Rfam family: Bacterial small subunit ribosomal RNA
Source: RNAcentral
AGUGAACGCUGGCGGUAGGCCUAACACAUGCAAGUCGAACGGCAGCACAGAGGAGCUUGCUCCUUGGGUGGCGAGUGGCGGACGGGUGAGGAAUACAUCGGAAUCUACUCUGUCGUGGGGGAUAACGUAGGGAAACUUACGCUAAUACCGCAUACGACCUACGGGUGAAAGCAGGGGACCUUCGGGCCCUGCGCGAUUGAAUGAGCCGAUGUCGGAUUAGCUAGUUGGCGGGGUAAAGGCCACCAAGGCGACGAUCCGUAGCUGGUCUGAGAGGAUGAGCAGCCACACUGGAACUGAGACACGGUCCAGACUCCUACGGGAGGCAGCAGUGGGGAAUAUUGGACAAUGGGCGCAAGCCUGAUCCAGCCAUACCGCGUGGGUGAAGAAGGCCUUCGGGUUGUAAAGCCCUUUUGUUGGGAAAGAAAUCCAGCUGGCUAAUACCCGGUUGGGAUGACGGUACCCAAAGAAUAAGCACCGGCUAACUUCGUGCCAGCCGCCGCAGUAA